UCCCCGGUAGCUCAGUUGGUAAAGAAUCCGCCUGCAAUGCAGGAAACCCGGGUUCGAUUCCUGGGUUGGGAA
Molecule: transfer RNA, 72 nt
Filed under: Bos taurus (domestic cattle)
Lineage: Eukaryota; Metazoa; Chordata; Mammalia; Artiodactyla; Bovidae
Also listed under: 1 other name
Rfam family: tRNA
About the family: Transfer RNA (tRNA) molecules are approximately 80 nucleotides in length. Their secondary structure includes four short double-helical elements and three loops (D, anti-codon, and T loops).
Source: Rfam by way of RNAcentral